GGGCGGUUAGCUCAGUUGGUUAGAGUACUUGCUCGACACGCAAGGGGUCACAGGUUCAAAUCCUGUACCGCCCA
Molecule: transfer RNA, 74 nt
Filed under: Elusimicrobia bacterium HGW-Elusimicrobia-4
Lineage: Bacteria; Pseudomonadati; Elusimicrobiota
Also listed under: 1 other name
Description: tRNA-Val
Rfam family: tRNA
About the family: Transfer RNA (tRNA) molecules are approximately 80 nucleotides in length.
Source: RNAcentral